Molecule: ribosomal RNA, 253 nt
Filed under: uncultured bacterium
Lineage: Bacteria
Description: partial 16S ribosomal RNA
Rfam family: Bacterial small subunit ribosomal RNA
Source: RNAcentral
UACGGGGGGGGUAAGCGUUGUUCGGAAUUACUGGGCGUAAAGGGCUCGUAGGCGGCCAACUAAGUCAUACGUGAAAUCCCUCAGCUUAACUGGGGAACUGCGUGUGAUACUGGAUGGCUUGGAUUUGGGAGAGGGAUGCGGAAUUCCAGGUGUAGCGGUGAAAUGCGUAGAUAUCUGGAGGAACACCGGUGACGAAGGCGGCAUCCUGGACCAAUAUUGACGCUGAGGAGCGAAAGCCAGGGGAGCAAACGGG